Odocoileus virginianus texanus is the source of this 1132-nucleotide non-coding RNA. Lineage: Eukaryota; Metazoa; Chordata; Mammalia; Artiodactyla; Cervidae. The record is from RefSeq and is a predicted model, not a curated record.
UGUGGGUGGCUCCAGGGUGAGGGCCCAACGGGCAGACGCCUGCCUGAAUAGAUGGGGUGUAGAUAUGUGGCAUAUAGAGAUAUAUAUUUUAUAAUGGGAGGGGGGAAUGGCACCUCCUGGGACUGGCAGGGCUGGGAGGUGUGCUGUCAAGCACAUGGUCCCAUGUUCGCAUCCCUAGAAAGAUAGGGCCUAUGGUGAUAGGCGCUAUAUAAAUACAUAGAUAGGGUCAUGUAUAAGAAAUAUUAUGUCGUGGGGAGUGGGGGAAGGAGGCUCAGAAGGCUGAGUCUCGGGCCCCACUGCAGACAAGCCCCACACCAAUCAAUCAGUCCCACACACACACACAGGAACAUGUUUCUAUACCGAUGCAUAACAAAUGCACGUGCACACACACACACACACACACACACACACAGCCAGGGAGCUCCCAGUGCUCUUCUCCCCAGGAUUCAGGACUUUGCGGAGUCGGCCCUGCAGCUCUUUACCUCUGUUGCCCUGUUUGCAGGUAGACUGUCAAUCCCAGAAGUUGCUAGGUGCUGAAGACAGGAAAAGGAGGAGGUUUUCUUUUAGCAGGUGCUCUCCUCUAGCAGACGAUUUCGCUUUGACCCCGGCGGGAGAGCACUUUGACUGCACAUUCCACGCAGCUAAAUGCAGGACUUACUCCCCGACCCUUCCCUUCCCGGCCCUCUUUCCUUUUUCUUCAGUUCCUCUUCUGACUCUUUGUUGUUGUUGUUGUUUUUUUUUUCUUCCUGGUUCCAGCAUCCUUUCACCACUGUAUUUUUUUUUUUUUUUUUUUUAGGGUUGCUUCUCUAUUUAUUGACAAUAAUAAUGUACAUUUCACAGUCUGGUUCUGGGACAUUGGGGAGGGGGUGUGAGAAGGCCCUGCGUGGGUCCCCACCGCCAUGCCCCCAUGUCCUGUUGUAUCUCUGUGUAAGUGAUGCUCGUGACAUAGCUGUUAUGAAAUAAUUAUAAAGAGGUCAGUGCGUACAGCAGAUGUAGAAAGUCUGUCAAUUCCGCCUUCAUCACAUUUUUUUUUGUGCCCAGAAGAAUAUAAUAAAGCUCCUUUCUAAUGUACUUGUGCUGGAGAACACUUGAAUAAAUGGACUGUUUUUGUGCAAAAAGAAAAACGGAAAAA